UUUACCUCCCCCUUCACUUUCCCUCGACUCGCUUCGCAAUCCCCCACGCGCUUCCCCUUUCCCCCACAAAUUCGAAACCUCCGAAUCCAUUUUCCGGCAAGCUUUCCGCGAAGCGAAAUCUCUGUCAAGAUGAACACCUCCGAUAUGGUGAGAAUCUCUGUUCAUCUGUAGAGACGCGUCUCCGUCGAUCUCCAGAUCUUUAGGCAUUUGGGUUCGCGAUGUCGUUCGC
Molecule: long non-coding RNA, 229 nt
Filed under: Eucalyptus grandis
Lineage: Eukaryota; Viridiplantae; Streptophyta; Magnoliopsida; Myrtales; Myrtaceae
Description: long non-coding RNA (EGRA_LNC003873)
Source: RNAcentral